GUGCCAGCCGCCGCGGUAAUACGUAGGUGGCAAGCGUUAUCCGGAAUUAUUGGGCGUAAAGCGCGCGCAGGUGGUUUCUUAAGUCUGAUGUGAAAGCCCACGGCUCAACCGUGGAGGGUCAUUGGAAACUGGGAGACUUGAGUGCAGAAGAGGAAAGUGGAACUCCAUGUGUAGCGGUGAAAUGCGUAGGUAUAUGGAGGAACACCAGUGGAGAAGGCGACUUUCUGGUCGGUAAAGGACACUGAGGCGCGAA
RNAcentral lists this ribosomal RNA (253 nucleotides) under uncultured bacterium. RNAcentral's name for it is "partial 16S rRNA". It matches the Rfam family "Bacterial small subunit ribosomal RNA", at positions 505 to 757 of the family's 1533-position model. The record is from RNAcentral.